AUACGUAGGGGGCGAGCGUUGUCCGGAUUUAUUGGGCGUAAAGAGCGCGUAGGUGGCCUUUCAAGUCGUGCGUGAAAUACUCUGGCUCAACUGGAGUGGGUCGUGCGAUACUGGAGGGCUCGAGGCCGGAAGAGGGAAGUGGAAUUCCCGGUGUAGUGGUGGAAUGCGUAGAUAUCGGGAGGAACACCAGUGGCGAAGGCGGCUUCCUGGUCCGGUCCUGACGCUGAGGCGCGAAAGCGUGGGGAGCGAACUGAAUUAGAUACUCAGGUAGUCCACGCUGUAAACGAUGGAUGCUAGGUGUCGGGGGUAUCGACCCCCUCGGUGCCGGAGCUAACGCAUUAAGCAUCCCGCCUGGGGAGUACGGCCGCAAGGCUAAA
Molecule: ribosomal RNA, 377 nt
Filed under: uncultured bacterium
Lineage: Bacteria
Description: bacterial SSU rRNA
Rfam family: Bacterial small subunit ribosomal RNA
Source: RNAcentral